UACGGGGGGAGCAAGCGUUGUUCGGAUUUACUGGGCGUAAAGGGCGCGUAGGCGGCGCAACAAGUCGCUUGUGAAAUCUCCGGGCUUAACUCGGAGCGGUCAAGCGAUACUGUCGUGCUAGAGUGCGGAAGGGGCUACUGGAAUUCUCGGUGUAGCGGUGAAAUGCGUAGAUAUCGAGAGGAACACCUGCGGCGAAGGCGGGUAGCUGGGCCGACACUGACGCUGAGGCGCGAAAGCUAGGGGAGCGAACGGGAUUAGAAACCCC
RNAcentral lists this ribosomal RNA (265 nucleotides) under uncultured bacterium. Its description in RNAcentral is "partial 16S ribosomal RNA". It matches the Rfam family "Bacterial small subunit ribosomal RNA", at positions 524 to 788 of the family's 1533-position model. The record is from RNAcentral.